UACGGAGGGUGCAAGCGUUGUUCGGAAUUACUGGGCGUAAAGCGUAUGUAGGCGGUUGGUUAAGUUUAGUGUUAAAGACUGAAGCUCAACUUCAGGAAUGCACUGGAUACUGGCCAACUAGAGGGCAAUAGAGGAGGGUGGAAUUCCCAGUGUAGCGGUGAAAUGCGUAGAUAUUGGGAGGAACACCAAUGGCGAAGGCAGCACCCUGGGCCGGUACUGACGCUGAGGAGCGAAAGCGUGGGGAGCAAACAGG
Molecule: unclassified non-coding RNA, 253 nt
Filed under: uncultured cyanobacterium
Lineage: Bacteria; Bacillati; Cyanobacteriota
Description: contains 16S-23S intergenic spacer region
Rfam family: Bacterial small subunit ribosomal RNA
Source: RNAcentral